GACGAACGCUGGCGGCGUGCUUAACACAUGCAAGUCGAACGGAAAGGCCCUGCUUUUGUGGGGUGCUCGAGUGGCGAACGGGUGAGUAACACGUGAGUAACCUGCCCUUGACUUUGGGAUAACUUCAGGAAACUGGGGCUAAUACCGGAUAGGAGCUCCUGCUGCAUGGUGGGGGUUGGAGAGUUUCGGCGGUUGGGGAUGGACUCGCGGCUUAUCAGCUUGUUGGUGGGGUAGUGGCUUACCAAGGCUUUGACGGGUAGCCGGCCUGAGAGGGUGACCGGCCACAUUGGGACUGAGAUACGGCCCAGACUCCUACGGGAGGCAGCAGUGGGGAAUAUUGCACAAUGGGCGGAAGCCUGAUGCAGCAACGCCGCGUGCGGGAUGACAGCCUUCGGGUUGUAAACCGCUUUCGCCUGUGACGAAGCGUGAGUGACGGUAAUGGGUAAAGAAGCACCGGCUAACUACGUG
Molecule: ribosomal RNA, 468 nt
Filed under: uncultured bacterium
Lineage: Bacteria
Description: partial 16S ribosomal RNA
Rfam family: Bacterial small subunit ribosomal RNA
Source: RNAcentral